This 253-nucleotide ribosomal RNA is filed under the name uncultured bacterium. RNAcentral's name for it is "partial 16S ribosomal RNA". It matches the Rfam family "Bacterial small subunit ribosomal RNA", at positions 524 to 776 of the family's 1533-position model. The record is from RNAcentral.
UACGUAGGUGGCAAGCGUUAUCCGGAAUUAUUGGGCGUAAAGAGCGCGCAGGUGGUUAAUUAAGUCUGAUGUGAAAGCCCACGGCUUAACCGUGGAGAGUCAUUGGAAACUGGUUGACUUGAGUGCAGAAGAGGGAAGUGGAAUUCCAUGUGUAGCGGUGAAAUGCGUAGAGAUAUGGAGGAACACCAGUGGCGAAGGCGGCUUCCUGGUCUGCAACUGACACUGAGGCGCGAAAGCGUGGGGAGCAAACAGG